UGCUGGGAUAGCGGAGGACCUCGCCUCUUGCUCCAGGUGUCAUGGCGACGAACAUCGAGCAGAUUUUCCGUGAUUUCGUAAUGAAUAAAAUCAAAGAAAUUCAAGACGAAGAGCAACACACCGGUGUGGAGAGCGAUGCCCAGCCAAAUGGAGGUGUGAUGCCUGAUUUGGAUAAGCAAGAUGCCAGAGAUGAGGCUCCUGGGAUCGAAGGAAACCAGGAAGAGCUGACCCAGACAACAGAAAGUGUUCAGUCCGGAACUGUUGAGGCGCAAGAGAGCUCUCAGCCUGAUACAGAAGCCAAUGUGAUUGCACAGAGCUCGCAGGCUGGAGAAGAGAGUGGCAGCAAAGAAGGGAGCGAGACCCCCAGGAAGAAGAACAAGAAGCAUAAGAGACACAAGAGCAAGAAGAAGAAGAAGAAACGGAAGGAGGAGAAGAGGUCCCGCUCCCGAUCGGGUAGCAGCUCGGAGUCUGGAGUGGAGUCUGACUCGGAACUGCGGUCACGCUCCAGUGUGAAGAGUGCCAAUGUGAUUCCUACUGUGAAGGAGACUGGGGCCAGCGAAGAGGCUCCCAUCGCCCACAGGGCACAGAAGGAGGGAGAGAUUGAGCAAACAAUGGAACAGGACCCUUCUGGGACUGCAGAGGAACAAGGGAACACACAGCCAGCUGGAGAAGAGAGUGGUGGUGAAACACACAGAAGCAAAUCCAAGAAGCAAAAAAAGCAUACAAACAAGAAAAAGAAAAAGAAGAAAAAAAAGGAGGAGAAAGAAGAGAAGAUAUCACGAUCUCGCUCGAGAUCGGAGAGCACUUCAGGAUCUGGGACAGAUUCUGAAUCUGAAUUAAAAAGGUUUUCGUUGGAUUCUCUGUUAAACUCCUCAGACAGCCAGGUGGACAGGCCUGGUGCUGCUGUUGAUAAAGUGGUUAACACUUGUACGUCGCUGGAGCCAAGACUUGAAAAGGAUUUAAGUCCUCCAACAGGGGUGGUAUCUGACACUAGUGUCACUGAAAUGCAACUUCCAGCAGGCAUUACAGAAGUUUCCACCUCAAAACAAAAUGGUUGUUCAUCAGGAGAGAUUGUCAUUGCCCCUGUUCAUGCAGAUGUUUUCGACUCUACUAAAGGUAAGGACUCUGAUUUUGUUGUGAAACCUGAGGAAAAGCAAGCUGAACUUGUUAAAGAGACUGAAACAAAGAAAGACAUGAGUAACCCGCUGGCAGUUAAAAGAGAAAGCAGUGAAGUGAAAAAGACGAGAGAGAGUCUUUCAAGGUCUCGAUCCCGUUCAGGAUCCAAGAAACACAGCUCUAGACAGACCCCAUCUAAGAAGAGUCGUAGCCGGUCAAGGAGCCGGCAAUGUGCUUUAGGAAAGUUUAGCUCAAGAAGGGGUCGUUCCUCGUCAAGAAGGCGAUCAAGGUCGACUUCCAAAAAGGUGCGAAGUCAAUCUUCAACCAAGUCUGAAAAAAGGCAUUCCAGAUCAAGAUCAGUCAAGCGUAGGUCGAGAUCCCGGUCUCACCUAAAGUUAAGCCGUAAGUCGAGAUCGGUAUCCUUUAAAAGGUCUAAGCGCUCAAAAUCUAGGUCUCGCACAAGAAACAGAAGGUCUAGGUCUAGAUCGGUCAGGCGUAAGCACUCAAAAUCGAGAUCCCAAUCACGAAACAAGCGCUCAAGGUCAAAAUCGAGGUCUAGAUCACCAAGACGAAGAAAGCGAACACGUUCUAGAUCCCAACAUAGAACCAGACGGUCAAAAUCUAGAUCCCACUCAAGAACCAGACAGUCUAAAUCUAGGUCUAUCACAAGGAACAGGCGUUCAAGAUCUAGAUCACCCAGACGAAUCAAGCGAUCUCGUUCCAGAUGCAUAGUAAGAAACAGACGUUCAAAAUCUAGGUCACCCAGGAGAAACAGGAGGUCUAAAUCUAAGUCACCUUUGCGAAGCGGGCACUCAAAAUCUAGAUCCCUCAAGAAAAGUAGGAGGACAAGGUCUAGGUCUCCCAGGAGAAACAGGCGCUCAAAAUCUCGAUCCCCCAGGAGAAACAGGCGCUCAAAAUCUCGAUCCCCCAGGAGAAACAGGCGCUCAAAAUCUCGAUCCCCCAGGAGAAACAGACGCUCAAAAUCUCGAUCCCCCAGGAGAAACAGGCGCUCAAAAUCUCGAUCCCCCAGGAGAAACAGGCGCUCAAAAUCUCGAUCCCCCAGGAGAAACAGGCGCUCAAAAUCUGGAUCCCCCAGGAGAAACAGGCGCUCAAAAUCUCGAUCCCCCAGGAGAAACAGGCGCUCAAAAUCUCGAUCCCCCAGGAGAAACAGGCGCUCAAAAUCUCGAUCUCUCAGGAGAAACAGGCGCUCAAAAUCUCGAUCCCCCAGGAGAAACAGGCGCUCAAAAUCUGGAUCCCUUAGGAGAAAUAGGCGCUCAAAAUCUGGAUCCCCUAGAAGAAAUAGGCGCUCAAAAUCUAGAUCUCCAGCAAGACGCAUGAGGUCUAAAUCUCUUGGGAGGAAUAGAUCUAGAUCAAAAUCGCAGAGACGAAAUAAGCGAUCAAAGUGUAGCUCCCUAGACAGACAUAGGAGGUCUAAAUCUAAAUCACCCAAACAAAAAAGACACUCAAAAUCUAAGUCUCCCAAAAGAAACAAGCGUUCAAAAUCGAAGUCUCCUACAAGAAACAAGCUCUCCAGAUCUAGAUCCCCCUCAAAGGACAAGAUGUCUGAAUCUAGAUCCCCCUCAGAGGACAAGAGGUCCCAAUCUAGAUCCCCCUCAGAGGACAAGAGGUCCCAAUCUAGAUCCCCCUCAGAGGACAAGAGGUCCCAAUCUAGAUCCCCCUCAGAGGACAAGAGGUCCCAAUCUAGAUCCCCCUCAGAGGACAAGAGGUCCCAAUCUAGAUCCCCCUCAAAGGACAAGAGGUCCCAAUCUAGAUCCCCCUCAAAGGACAAGAGGUCCCAAUCUAGAUCCCCCUCAAAGGACAAGAGGUCCCAAUCUAGAUCCCCCUCAAAGGACAAGAGGUCCCAAUCUAGAUCCCCCUCAGAGGACAAGAGGUCCCAAUCUAGAUCCCCCUCAGAGGACAAGAGGUCCCAAUCUAGAUCCCCCUCAAAGGACAAGAGGUCCCAAUCUAGAUCCCCCUCAAAGGACAGGAGAUCUGAAUCUAGAUCGCCAGAAAGAAGCAAGCUCUCAGGAAGUAAAUCACCGACCAAAGAGUCUAACUCUGGAUCCCCUGCCAAAGACCAGUGUUACAAACCUAUAACCCCAUUAAAAAUGGAAACAUCUACUUCCCCCAAACCAGAAAGGACGUUGGGAUCAGUGUCUCCAACAACAGAUAUAUCUACAGGACCUCUUUGUGCAAUGAUGGAAGAAGACUCAGUGCCACAAUCUUUUGCAGCAGACAGAUUUUCAAAGUCUGGCUCUCCCAUUAAAGUUGAUUGCUCAGAAUUAGAAUUUCCAGUGACCAAUUCAUCUUCUCUUGUGAACAGAAGAUGCAUAGAAGUUUCUUCACUGAUUAAAGACGUAAAGUCUAAUAUUAUGACAGACACUACUUGGGCAGCAUUAUCCCCUAUGAUAGCAAACUGUUUAACAACUGAAAGCACCACAGUAGAUGAGCAUCCAGUAAGAUCGGCAUCUCCCUCAAUAGAUAGUAGUUAUAAAACCAGUUCUUUGUUGAGGGAAAAGUCCCCACCAUCUGUAUCCUCAGAGUUUUCUGAAAGUGGGUCUCCAAAACCACAGCAGUGCUCAAGAUCGGAAUCCCCAGUAACAGAAAAGGACUUGACUCCUAAAUCGCCUCCCUCUAUAGGCCAACCUUUAACAUCCCCUUUGACCCAGACUUUUGAGCUGAAACCUGAAUUUACCAUGUCAGACAAGUGCUUUAAAUUUGAAUCCUCCCAGUCAGACAGUAACUCACAAUCCAAAUCGCCAGCAACACAGAGUCAUUCGAGAUCUGCAUCACCAGUAAAUGUUGAGUCCUCUAAAUCUCGGUCCCCUACAUCAGAUCGGUGUUCAAAAUCCGAGUCCCCUACAAGGGAAGAUAUUUCAGUAUCAACUCCUGCUGACAGACAAUCUGAGUCUAAACCUCCAGUGGCAAACAUUUUUACAGGGUGUAGUACUCCCUGUAUAGGGCAACCUCAAAGUUCUUGCCCCCCUAAAGCAGAGAUGCCUUCAGAAUCUUUAUCCCCAGCUCGAGGCACUUGUUCGCGACCUCUAUCUCCGGCAGCGGAGGAUUGUCCAACAUCUGUGCCGGAGACAGACGGAUGUCCAAAAUCUCCCAUUACAGAAAAGCAUUCAAAAUCCCCAGGGCGAGAACAGAGCUCAAAAUCUAAAUCUCCUGCAGAAAGUGCAUGUAUUAAACCUGAAGUGCCUACAAAAAUGAAUCGUUCAAAAUCUCGGUCUCCUUCGACGAACACAAAGUCCUCCACUAGAAACAAGAGUUCAAAAUCUAGAUCCCCCUCAGUAAAGAAACACUCAAAAUCCUCCAAGCAGAAGAAGUGUUCCAGGUCUGGAUCUCCUGCUAAAAAGUCAAAGUCUCCAUCAAGGAGGAAGAGAUCUAGAUCCCCAGUGAGAAAGAAACAUUCCAAAUCUAGAUCUUCCAGUCAGAAGAAGAGGUCUAAAUCGAGAUCACCUGCAAGAAAGAAGAGAUCAAAAUCUAGAUCCCCCAUAAGAAGAAAGAGGUCUAGGUCCGCUACAAGAAGGAAGCGAUCAAAAUCCAGAUCCCCUAAAAGAAGACGAUCAAAAUCCAGAUCACCUGUUAGAAAGAAGCGGUCAAAAUCCAGGUCCCAUGGAAGGAACAGACGUUCAAAAUCGAGAUCGCCUGCAAGAAGAAAAAGGUCAAGAUCUAAAUCCCCUGCAAAGAAGCGCUCAAGAUCAAGAUCAGCCACUCGAGCAAGGCGCUCAAGGUCCAAGACUCGCUCUGUCUCAAGACCCCGAAGGAAGUCGCGCUCAGUGUCCCGAGACAGGAGGUCUCGCUCUGCAGAGAGGAGGAGGAGGAGGAGAGCCAGGUACCGGAGCAGGUCCAUCGAGCGCUGGAGGAGGUCCAGGUCCUUCAACAGGAGGAGGGUCUCCAGAUCUCCGGUGCUGCUGCUGAGGAGGAGAAGGUCAAUAUCCAGGACCCGGAGGAGCCCCAGCAAGACCCCUCCACGCCUCACAGAGCUGGAUAAGGCCCAGCUGCUAGAGAUAGCGAAAGCUAACGCUGCUGCCAUGUGUGCUAAGGCUGGUGUGCCCAUACCCCAGAGCCUGAAACCUACUGUCAUAAUGCAGCUGCCGUUACCACUGCCAAUCCCCCCGCCUGUUGAGGAGAAGAAGAAGGUGGUCCAGAAAGUGACCAACAGCACCAUUCUGGAGCUCACAGAGAAGUGCAAGCAGAUUGCAGAGAGCAAGGAGGACGAGAAUGAGGUGUUGAACAAGCCGCACGUGUCUGAUGAUGAAGAGGAGGAGCAGCCCUUCGGAGGCCAGGGUGCCAGGCUGGGAGAGCUCAAGGGCAUUUCCUUCAGUCUCAGUAACCCCUCGGUGAAGCCGGCUGCCAGGACGGAGGUGGCACUGACCAAGGACUUCCCAGUGUCCUCGGGCUCGCAGCACAGGAAGAAGGAGGGAGACGGUGCCUAUGGGGAGUGGGUUCUUGUCGACAAGGGGGCGGAGAAGGAAAGCAAGGACAACGUCUUCACAGACACACCUGUACAGCCUGUGGACAUCACACUGGCAAUGAACGAGAGAGCCGUGGCACAGAAGAAGCUGGCAGAAAACCCCUUCGAUAUCAACGCCAUUUGUAUGCUGAGUCGAGCACAGGAGCAGGUGGACGCGUGGGCCCAGUCCAGCAACCUGCCAGGCCGCUUCACAGGGAGCACCGGCGCCCAGGUCCUGUCUGCAGAAGAGCUCUCCUCCAGUGGACCCCAAGCCUGGAUACGAAAGGUAACCCUCCACUCCACAGCCAUCCCGGCUUCAUAGAACCUGUGAUCGGUAACCCUUCACCUGCAACUCGCAGGGCAUCUCCAGUGGUUAGACAGCCCAUAGGCAUCAGAUCUGCAGAUGCUCAAUAAAGAACAGGGCACACAUCUAUCACACAGCAGGGAAGCACAGCUUGAUGACACAGGCAGUACACAUACUGCUUACCAUGCCAUGCAAUAACUACAUAAUCGUCUCACAAAUGUAUUUUUGAGAGACUAAAACUAGAUGACUAAUGGAGGCAGUACACAUAGAAUAAAUACAGUGACAGUGUGCUUUCUGCUGCAUGCAGAAGAUGUUUCAUAUCUGGGAAGUUUUUCUUGGUGUGGUGUUGAUACAGUGUAAUAAUAAUGUUUAUAUUGCCUUGUGUGAAACAUGUCCUGUUUAAAGUGGGUUGCUUGUGCACACUAACAUUAUGAAGUUGGAAAUGGCCAGCUUUAUUAUAAAACCUGCCUUUGUAUAAAAGAGUGCUGGUAGUGUGAAAUUUAUGUUUUUACUCCUUUAAAUCUGGGUUAAUAUCUCUUGAUUUGAAAUGGGAUUUUGUGAAAUGAAUUGGGGUGAGAUAAUAGAGGGUGGGGUGAAUAAGGGGAUAAAUCCUUCUAUCAAAAUAAUUUUUUGCAAUACCUGCAUCUCACUGUGUGUUUUAAUUACAAAAUCAAUUUUUGAUAAGCAGCACACGUUUAGAUUUGAGAGUAGAAACCUCAAUGUUUUCCUGUCUCAGUUGAGCACCCCACAGCUGUACUUCAGAAACAUUCACUUCACAAGUUAGUUUGUUCUGUUUUUACCCAAGUUCUGACUCCUGCUUUCUGAGCCCAGCCCCUGUUCAGUGGUGUUUAACCCUGUCUCGAGAUCUCCUGAUGUCUGUUUCAUGUAUUUUCAUUGAUGUAAACAGUUCACUAAUCUCUGGCUCUACUUCAGUUUAUUUUUUAAAGUCCAUUGUUUGGUUUUCAUGAAAGAAGAGCAGAACUCUAGAACUUUGGUCAAAUGUUGCACUUAGGUUUUUGCCAAGUGCGUUGAUUCUAUCACUGGAGUCAAUUGCCACCCCUUGUAAGCCUUCAUCAUAUUGGACAGUUCAGUUCCUGUUUAGGUGCUGAGCUGCUAACGGCCAGGUUGAAAUAUUUGAAUAAUUUAACCACAGUGAUUAUACAUUCCUGUGGGUGGCAUUUGUGUGCCACUUGAUGCCAUUUUAAAGAUGUGUCUGUGGUUUCAUGAAGACCAGCAUUUUUGAUCUCUCAGAUGUUUUAGUUUGUGAACUGGCAACACCACUGAAGAGAAUGAAACAGAUGUUGAUGUUGAAAUUCUAUCAAAGCAGGUACAAAACGGGAUGGGAACCCCUGGGCCCCUGUGACUGGGGGUUUGUGUCAGGCUCUGCAUGGUGGCCUCUUUGGUAUAAAGAGGUUCCUUGGGAAAGAGGGGAGGAGGAAAGCUGGAAGUAAGUACCCCCGUAGCACCGCCCACUGCCAGCUGUACUGACUGAGGCUACCACAGCUGCUGUGAAGAUGAGGGGGUUCCUAGCAGAGCGCCAAACUGGGCAAGAGGUGGACCUGACCUGAAAUGAAAAGGCAUCCUGUGUUUCCAUGAGCUCUGAUCCUCCUAGUAUCCCUCCCCAAAAUCACCCAGGCUUUUUGAAAUGCUUGAGUGUUUUAUAUACACACCUUCUGUUGUGCACUCAGCUUUGCACCGGUAACAUGAACACAUUCAAAUCGAACAGACAUGCAUUAUAAACUGUGUCACUAUGUGCGGUUUGUGGCGUUUACAAUGAAAUGUGGGUUGUCAGCAUUUUGACUAUAAAGAACAGACACCUGGCUACUUGGCAAUUUUAGUAGUGGUCUCUAGUAAAGGGGGUGUGUGUCUGUUUCGGGUGGGUUGGGUAGAGGAGAGAGGUGAAUGUUCACAGACUGACCUGUGAACUUUCACCCCUCUGUAUGGAAACUUGUUGCAGGGUCAAUCCUUGUAGCUGCCUUGUUGCCAUGGUCACUGUCAGGCCCUUCUAAUCACAACAGACCACGGCCGCUGAGGCCUAGGACCAGUUCCUGCGGGC
Molecule: RNA transcript, 7935 nt
Organism: Polyodon spathula (Mississippi paddlefish)
Lineage: Eukaryota; Metazoa; Chordata; Actinopteri; Acipenseriformes; Polyodontidae
Gene name: serine/arginine repetitive matrix protein 2-like
Exons: 11
Source: RefSeq, a predicted model, not a curated record